RNAcentral lists this ribosomal RNA (264 nucleotides) under uncultured bacterium. Its description in RNAcentral is "partial 16S ribosomal RNA". It matches the Rfam family "Bacterial small subunit ribosomal RNA", at positions 90 to 354 of the family's 1533-position model. The record is from RNAcentral.
UUCGAGUGGCGGACGGGUGAGUAACGCGUGGGUAACCUGCCUUACACAGGGGGAUAACACCUGGAAACAGGUGCUAAUACCGCAUAAGCGCACAGGGCCGCAUGGCCCGGUGUGAAAAACUCCGGUGGUGUAAGAUGGACCCGCGUCUGAUUAGCUUGUUGGCGGGGUAGAGGCCCACCAAGGCGACGAUCAGUAGCCGGCCUGAGAGGGCGGACGGCCACACUGGGACUGAGACACGGCCCAGACUCCUACGGAAGGCAGCAG